AAAGAUGCCCUCGAGUGAGUGUGUUUCCUCAGGGGAGAAUUGACCUGAGAACAGAGGGCAUGUCUCACCUGGCAUCCAGGCACACAGGCUGAGCACUGCCAGUGUCAGAGAACGGCCUUGAGCAGAGAGUCCUAGGGACUUGCAACAGAAGCCAUCAGCGAGGACAGGAACGAAUUCGUCUAAUGAAGGAAGAAAGACGUUAAAGUAACUCGUCCCGCAACUUGUUACCUGAUUAAAUUGUGGUGAGUGGUGAAGGAGAGGAAGCCACAGACACUCAGGGCAGGGGAAGUGGACCAGCUCUGGAGUGUCCCAGGAGGCUCUGUCAGGAGUGAUAUCGAAGCUGAACUUUAAAGAUGAACAGCCUGGACAUUGGCACCUGGAGCUCCUGGUGGGACUCACCCUGCAUGGAAGACUGCCAUGACCACCAGGCCACCCCACUGAGACAGAAGGUGACCUUGACCACCCAUGAGAAUGAUUUAAGUACUGUGGAGUUAUGUAUACUGUACCACUGUUAAAAAUAUGUACAUAGCAUAAAAUUU
Molecule: long non-coding RNA, 539 nt
Filed under: Equus caballus (horse)
Lineage: Eukaryota; Metazoa; Chordata; Mammalia; Perissodactyla; Equidae
Description: lncRNA (ENSECAG00000050081.1)
Source: RNAcentral